This 839-nucleotide ribosomal RNA is filed under the name Cytospora heveae. RNAcentral describes it as "Cytospora sp. CS-2021a partial large subunit ribosomal RNA". It matches the Rfam family "Eukaryotic large subunit ribosomal RNA", at positions 68 to 936 of the family's 3401-position model. The record is from RNAcentral. Lineage: Eukaryota; Fungi; Ascomycota; Sordariomycetes; Diaporthales; Cytosporaceae.
ACAGGGAUUGCCCUAGUAACGGCGAGUGAAGCGGCAACAGCUCAAAUUUGAAAGCUGGCUCCGGCCCGCAUUGUAAUUUGCAGAGGAUGCUUUUGGUGAGGUGCCUUCCGAGUUCCCCUGGAACGGGACGCCACAGAGGGUGAGAGCCCCGUAUGGAUGGACACCAAACCUGUGUAAAGCUCCUUCAACGAGUCGAGUAGUUUGGGAAUGCUGCUCAAAAUGGGAGGUAAAUCUCUUCUAAAGCUAAAUACCGGCCAGAGACCGAUAGCGCACAAGUAGAGUGAUCGAAAGAUGAAAAGCACCUUGAAAAGGGGGUUAAACAGUACGUGAAAUUGUUGAAAGGGAAGCGUUUAUGACCAGACUUGCGCCGGGCAGCUCAUCAGGGGUUCUCCCCUGUGCACUCUGCCCGGCUCAGGCCAGCAUCGGUUCUCGUGGGAGGAUAAGAACGGUAGGAAUGUGGCCCCCUCUCGGGGGGGUGUUAUAGCCUGCCGUACGAUACUCCCGUGGGGACCGAGGUUCGCGCUCCGCAAGGAUGCUGGCGUAAUGGUCAUCAACGACCCGUCUUGAAACACGGACCAAGGAGUCGUCCAUUAGAGCGAGCGUUUGGGUGUAAAACCCGCACGCGUAAUGAAAGUGAACGCAGGUGAGAGCUUCGGCGCAUCAUCGACCGAUCCUGAUGUUCUCGGAUGGAUUUGAGUAAGAGUUUUAACGGACGGACCCGAAAGACAGUGAACUAUGCUUGUAUAGGGUGAAGCCAGAGGAAACUCUGGUGGAGGCUCGCAGCGGUUCUGACGUGCAAAUCGAUCGUCAAAUAUGAGCAUGGGGGCGAAAGACUAAUC